Long non-coding RNA from Drosophila albomicans, 180 nucleotides. RefSeq lists it as uncharacterized. The record is from RefSeq and is a predicted model, not a curated record. The transcript is spliced from 3 exons. Lineage: Eukaryota; Metazoa; Arthropoda; Insecta; Diptera; Drosophilidae.
AGCGUGAUUACUGCCGCACUCCCUCACUCUACACUCUGAUGCCUACAAAAAUAGUUGUUGUAGAUAUAUAUAUAUAUAUAAAAUAUAUAGAUUGAUUGGAAGAAUUUCAAAGAGAUUUGCCAACGAAAUCAAGAAGAACAUGCAAGAAAGAAUUCUACAACAUGCAUGUAUAGAUAAUAA